AGAGUUUGAUCCUGGCUCAGGAUGAACGCUGGCGGCGUGCUUAAUACAUGCAAGUCGAACGGAGAUAUUAGCAAUAGUAUCUUAGUGGCGAACGGGUGAGUAACGCGUUGGUGACCUGCCCCAAAGAGGGGGAUAACAGCUCGAAAGGGCUGCUAAUACCCCAUGAGAUCGCUAGGAUUAGAGGCCUGGUGAUGAAAGGAGCAAUCCGCUUUGGGAGGGGCCUGCGUCCCAUCAGCUAGUUGGUAGGGUAAAGGCCUACCAAGGCAAAGACGGGUAGGGGGCCUGAGAGGGUGACCCCCCACACUGGCACUGAAACACGGGCCAGACACCUACGGGUGGCAGCAGUAGGGAAUAUUGCACAAUGGGCGAAAGCCUGAUGCAGCAACGCCGCGUGCGCGAUGAAGGCCUUCGGGUUGUAAAGCGCUUUUCGGGGAGAUGAGGAAGGACAGUAUCCCCGGAAUAAGGCUCGGCUAACUACGUGCCAGCAGCCGCGGUAA
RNAcentral lists this ribosomal RNA (497 nucleotides) under uncultured Anaerolineaceae bacterium. RNAcentral describes it as "bacterial SSU rRNA". It matches the Rfam family "Bacterial small subunit ribosomal RNA", at positions 8 to 523 of the family's 1533-position model. Lineage: Bacteria; Bacillati; Chloroflexota; Anaerolineae; Anaerolineales; Anaerolineaceae. The record is from RNAcentral.